Molecule: ribosomal RNA, 468 nt
Filed under: uncultured bacterium
Lineage: Bacteria
Description: partial 16S ribosomal RNA
Rfam family: Bacterial small subunit ribosomal RNA
Source: RNAcentral
GGCGAACGCUGGCGGCGUGCUUAACACAUGCAAGUCGAACGGAAAGGCCCUGCUUUUGUGGGGUGCUCGAGUGGCGAACGGGUGAGUAACACGUGAGUAACCUGCCCUUGACUUUGGGAUAACUUCAGGAAACUGGGGCUAAUACCGGAUAGGAGCUCCUGCUGCGUGGUGGGGGUUGGAAAGUUUCGGCGGUUGGGGAUGGACUCGCGGCUUAUCAGCUUGUUGGUGGGGUAGUGGCUUACCAAGGCUUUGACGGGUAGCCGGCCUGAGAGGGUGACCGGCCACAUUGGGACUGAGAUACGGCCCAGACUCCUACGGGAGGCAGCAGUGGGGAAUAUUGCACAAUGGGCGGAAGCCUGAUGCAGCAACGCCGCGUGCGGGAUGACGGCCUUCGGGUUGUAAACCGCUUUCGCCUGUGACGAAGCGUGAGUGACGGUAAUGGGUAAAGAAGCACCGGCUAACUACGUG